RNAcentral lists this long non-coding RNA (279 nucleotides) under Ananas comosus (pineapple). RNAcentral describes it as "long non-coding RNA (ACOM_LNC038996)". The record is from RNAcentral. Lineage: Eukaryota; Viridiplantae; Streptophyta; Magnoliopsida; Poales; Bromeliaceae.
UUGUAAGGUACCGGACUUCUAAAAUAAUGAAGUUAUGGUUUAUAUUGGUUUUGAGAGCUAUUGGAAUGGUUUCGAUGAAGUUUGGAAGUAUUCGGGCGUUUUCGGAGCACGUAGGCGCGAAAAUGGAACCCGAAAGGCUAUGUUGUACUAUGAACUAAAUCUGAAAUUAGCAUGGAUGAAAAGAUGAUGAAAAUAUGCUCGAAAAUAUGUUUGGAGAGUCUCGGUUCGAUUUGAAUAGAAUUGGAGGCCAAACGAGCGAAAACGGAGCGAAAACGAAAA